Molecule: ribosomal RNA, 1212 nt
Filed under: Vibrio parahaemolyticus
Lineage: Bacteria; Pseudomonadati; Pseudomonadota; Gammaproteobacteria; Vibrionales; Vibrionaceae
Description: partial 23S ribosomal RNA
Rfam family: Bacterial large subunit ribosomal RNA
Source: RNAcentral
UCGGGAGAAGGUACGCUCUUGAUGGUGAAGUCCCUUGCGGAUGGAGCUGACGAGAGUCGCAGAUACCAGGUGGCUGCAACUGUUUAUUAAAAACACAGCACUGUGCAAAAUCGUAAGAUGACGUAUACGGUGUGACGCCUGCCCGGUGCCGGAAGGUUAAUUGAUGGGGUUAGACUUCGGUCGAAGCUCUUGAUCGAAGCCCCGGUAAACGGCGGCCGUAACUAUAACGGUCCUAAGGUAGCGAAAUUCCUUGUCGGGUAAGUUCCGACCUGCACGAAUGGCGUAAUGAUGGCCACGCUGUCUCCACCCGAGACUCAGUGAAAUUGAAAUCGCUGUGAAGAUGCAGUGUACCCGCGGCUAGACGGAAAGACCCCGUGAACCUUUACUACAGCUUGGCACUGAACAUUGACCCUACAUGUGUAGGAUAGGUGGGAGGCUUUGAAGCACGUACGCCAGUAUGUGUGGAGCCGUCCUUGAAAUACCACCCUUGUAGUGUUGAUGUUCUAACGUCGACCCCUUAUCGGGGUUGCGGACAGUGCCUGGUGGGUAGUUUGACUGGGGCGGUCUCCUCCCAAAGAGUAACGGAGGAGCACGAAGGUGGGCUAAUCACGGUUGGACAUCGUGAGGUUAGUGCAAUGGCAUAAGCCCGCUUGACUGCGAGAAUGACAAUUCGAGCAGGUGCGAAAGCAGGUCAUAGUGAUCCGGUGGUUCUGAAUGGAAGGGCCAUCGCUCAACGGAUAAAAGGUACUCCGGGGAUAACAGGCUGAUACCGCCCAAGAGUUCAUAUCGACGGCGGUGUUUGGCACCUCGAUGUCGGCUCAUCACAUCCUGGGGCUGAAGUCGGUCCCAAGGGUAUGGCUGUUCGCCAUUUAAAGUGGUACGCGAGCUGGGUUUAGAACGUCGUGAGACAGUUCGGUCCCUAUCUGCCGUGGGCGUUGGAAGAUUGAAGGGGGCUGCUCCUAGUACGAGAGGACCGGAGUGGACGAACCUCUGGUGUUCGGGUUGUGUCGCCAGACGCAUUGCCCGGUAGCUAAGUUCGGAAUCGAUAACCGCUGAAAGCAUCUAAGCGGGAAGCGAGCCCUGAGAUGAGUCUUCCCUGAUACUUUAAGUAUCCUAAAGGGUUGUCGGAGACUACGACGUUGAUAGGUCAGGUGUGUAAGUGCUGUGAGGCAUUGAGCUAACUGAUACUAAUUGCCCGUGAGGCUUAACCAU